Molecule: long non-coding RNA, 2311 nt
Organism: Cavia porcellus (domestic guinea pig)
Lineage: Eukaryota; Metazoa; Chordata; Mammalia; Rodentia; Caviidae
Source: Ensembl
UCUUGUGUGCUGAUAGCUGUAUUUUCUGAUCCGCCAAAAGGUAACAGUCUCUGUAGCCUGUCCUUGGAAACAGAAGGAGAAAGCAAACCAACAAAAGAUGUUUCUAAGUCAUAUAUUGGAGCUUGGAAUUUUCCCUGUGAAUCUUUUCAAGUUAUCUAUGGAAGAAGUGAUCUAUUCACUGACUUAACUAGUCACCCAGUGCUGGCACCCUGAGAUGUGGACAUCCUGGUCGCUUCCAUGGCCUCAUGUGUGAAGCACAGAGUACCUACUCUCAGCCCAGGUUCUGGAGGAAGCUACAUGAUCCUUGAGAUGCUCCUGUGCUGAAUAAAGGUGGUCUGUGAGUCCAAGUGAGGACAGGGGAAGGCCCAGGAGACUACCGCGGACCUGUGGGGGCCCUGGCUUUCAAGGUCCCUGAGUCUCCCGUAUGCGGAGGAGCACAGCCCCUGAUGCCCCGCGUACAUGUUUAUGUUAAUAGUGCCGGGAGAACAGGCUGCUCUGGGGCUUCUUCCCAACUGCCACAUGAAUCAAUCAGGACAGAAAGAAGUUACUAUUUCCACAGACACUGCUGCUGUAGCGCAGCAAGUUUGGUGAGGCGUGGAGGCGAACCCCUGCCCCAGGACCAGCCUUGCAGGCUGACUCCCUCCCUCCUCCACUGCCCAGUGAGGUUUCGCAACACGAGGACACAAGUUUCAGGGACACAGCAUUCCCAAGUCACAAAGGUACUUGAAAUCAUCCAGUAUGCAAUCAAAGACAAGCACUGUGUGAAGAUCCAUGCCAGGGCCUUUUGCGCAGCGGCUCUGCAGCGGCAGUUUGGAAAACAGGCCCCGAACGGUGUUUACAGCCUUCCCUAUGUGCCUCCGGUGCAGCCAGAGCUGGGAAGCAUGAUACAUGUGGAGAAGCAAUCCCAAAGGACAACACUAGUUGCAAAGCUGAGACAAAGGCCUGGUUUGUGGGAGUGCAUUGCCCUCCGGCUGCCCGGGAGGGGCAGUGAGCAGUAGCCUCCCAGCCCUGGAGAUCAGGGGCUGGAGGCGCAGUGUCUUUCCAGGGUGAAGAAGUGGUGUCCAUGAAUUUGAUGGAGUACUGUUGCCUUGGCUUCCCGUGUGUGCCUCUCCUUGCUGGUCUGCCCCACGCCCGACCUCUCUGCUUCAUGCUCUGAUUUCUCUUUCCUAAGGGAAAGUAGGAGCCUCAAGUUUACUCUGGGACUCUCCAGCCUCUGGAGGGCAGUGGUAAACUCCUGUCAGAUGACAUGCAAGAGUUGAGUGUCUUGAGUCAUUGUCUUCCCCAGUAAUGAGAGGGGCAGUAGGUGGGUGUGAAAGGCUACUGCAGAGAGCUUGGGACAGUUGAGUGCAUCAUAGAAAUCCAUUUGGGGGAUAAUGGGGACAUGAUGGGGAGACUGGAGGAGAUAAAGGGGGAAAUGCUGGAGUACCUUAUUUCCAGGAAGCUACACGUUUCACAGCUCACCGUACCUCUUCCCUUAAAGCCAAGCCCAAGGGCAUAGAUUCUCUUUCUUUGCUUCCACUGUAUGUACAUGCCUUGACUAUUUCUAUACAAUAUUGACAACUAGUGUUUAUUAAGACACUUUUUUUUUGGUCUUUUUCGUUUUUUUUUUUUUUUUUUCUGGUACCAGGGAUCGAACUCAUGACUGCCUGCUUGCAAGGCAGGCGUUUAUGCCGCUGAGCUAAAUCCCCAGCCCCACCACUUUUGUAUCUUGAAAGCACUUCAUGAACAUAAUUUGUAUCCUGUCAUGCAAGUGUUUGAACAACCUAGUUCUUGGGGUGCAAGCAUUUCAACCCUUAGUUUACUGUUUGAGCAAAGUGAGGCAACAGAAAUGUGGGGACACAUCGGAGACUGGGGCUGGAGGGUGAUGAGAGUGUGAUUCAUGCUCAGGUGUCCGGAGUCAAAUUCCAGUGUUUCUCCCCAGCCAACGAAGGAUGUCCGGUACCAGAUUCAUUCAGAGUCCACUCCGGUUAUGGUCGGCUUUUUUGUUGCUCUCUUGCUCCUGCAUCUCUGUUCACCUGCACUGUUUUCUCUCCUUUUGUCUAAGCUUGGAUUUUAGUUUACUCUAGGGGGAAAUGUGCAGGAAAGCCUCAUGAUGAGAUGUUGUUAACUAUGAUGUGAUCCUGUAGUAGGAACCCCAAGGGAGAUAUUGUAAUGAGACCUCAGUCAAUUAUCCAGGUACCCUGAGCUCUCUGCAUGGCCCGGUUUCUCUUGGCAAGUAAACCCCUCAUUAGGAGCAGCAUCCCAUGACAGCACACAGAGGACAGGUGACCUCAGUUACUCAGAGCUGAGGCCACAGCCCCAGCCCUUCUGC